Molecule: ribosomal RNA, 859 nt
Filed under: uncultured bacterium
Lineage: Bacteria
Description: bacterial SSU rRNA
Rfam family: Bacterial small subunit ribosomal RNA
Source: RNAcentral
GACGAACGCUGGCGGCGUGCUUAACACAUGCAAGUCGAACGAUGAACCUGGAGCUUGCUCUAGGGAAUUAGUGGCGAACGGGUGAGUAACACGUGAGUAACCUGCCCUUGACUCUGGGAUAACCUCCGGAAACGGAAGCUAAUACCGGAUACGACGUACGGAGGCAUCUCCUGUACGUGGAAAGAACUUCGGUCAAGGAUGGACUCGCGGCCUAUCAGGUAGUUGGUGAGGUAACGGCUCACCAAGCCUACGACGGGUAGCCGGCCUGAGAGGGUGACCGGCCACACUGGGACUGAGACACGGCCCAGACUCCUACGGGAGGCAGCAGUGGGGAAUAUUGCACAAUGGGCGCAAGCCUGAUGCAGCAACGCCGCGUGAGGGAUGACGGCCUUCGGGUUGUAAACCUCUUUUAGUAGGGAAGAAGCGAAAGUGACGGUACCUGCAGAAAAAGCACCGGCUAACUACGUGCCAGCAGCCGCGGUAAUACGUAGGGUGCGAGCGUUGUCCGGAAUUAUUGGGCGUAAAGAGCUCGUAGGCGGUCUGUCGCGUCUGCUGUGAAAACCCGAGGCUCAACCUCGGGCCUGCAGUGGGUACGGGCAGACUAGAGUGCGGUAGGGGAGAAUGGAAUUCCUGGUGUAGCGGUGGAAUGCGCAGAUAUCAGGAGGAACACCGAUGGCGAAGGCAGUCCUCUGGGCCGUAACUGACGCUGAGGAGCGAAAGCGUGGGGAGCGAACAGGAUUAGAUACCCUGGUAGUCCACGCCGUAAACGUUGGGCGCUAGAUGUGGGGACCAUUCCACGGUUUCCGUGUCGCAGCUAACGCAUUAAGCGCCCCGCCUGGGGAGUACGGCCGCAAGGCUA